Nomascus leucogenys (northern white-cheeked gibbon) is the source of this 931-nucleotide long non-coding RNA. RefSeq lists it as uncharacterized. The transcript is spliced from 3 exons. The record is from RefSeq and is a predicted model, not a curated record. NCBI's taxonomy places the organism in Eukaryota, Metazoa, Chordata, Mammalia, Primates, Hylobatidae.
UUUUUUAAUUGCUGUUCCCAUAAUGGGCUAGGCUCUUAAAUUUACAGCUUCAUGCAAGUAUAGUCGACCCUUGAUAAACACAAUUUUGAACAGCAUAGGUCCCCUUAGACUUCCCUCUGCCUCUGCCACUGCUGAGAUGGCAACCCUUUCUCUUUCUCCUCCUCCUUGCCUGCUCAACCUGAAGAUCAUGAGGAGGAAGACCUUUAUGCUGAUCCACUUCCACUGAAUGAAUGAAGGGUGUCUGGAUCAUAUGUAUUCCAGAGUAAAGUCACGAUGGCUUUAUGACGUUCUGAGGUACGUUCCAAACAGGUGAGGUAUUGCACACUAGCAAACACAUGAUAAGAAGGUGGAGGAAUUGGGAGAAAAAUAAAAAGAAUGCAGCAGGCCAGGUUAGCGGGAACGUUAAGACGGUGACAGGGAACAGCAAAGCCUGGAAGCAAGCCGCCGUGGAGAAGGAAGAACUGUGCUGGGGUGAGUUGCUGUGACAACCCAGGCUGAUUUUGAGUAUGUAAACACCAAACCUUGUUCUUGGCUGCCGCUCAGCUCAGCCGGCUUUGGAGCCUGGCUGCCCAGUCACCACUUCAGGGAUGUGCUGUUUUUAGGGAGGGUGUGACCCUACAAGAUGUUUCUGAGCCUUAAUGCUUUUUUGUGGGAGCCAAUGUUUAAUAUGGUGGCUAGAGUUACCUGAAGAAUCUAUAAAAAAUGACCGAAGCCCCUUCUGCUCACCCUCCCACUCAUCAGAGUCGGCUUCUGUGGGUCUGAGUGGGAAGGACUUCCACUUUUAACAGCAUGAGACACGGUUCUGACAGCCCCACUAACAUCCGAAUGCAGGCUGCAGUGCUCAGUCCUGAGGAUAAAAUUCUCAGCUUGGAGAUUGGGGUUGAUGCCUUACCUUUAUUAGCACCAGAUGGGUUCGUAACAACCCAGAGGU